UACGUAGGGGGCAAGCGUUGUCCGGAUUUAUUGGGCGUAAAGAGCGUGUAGGCGGCCAGGGAGGUCCGUUGUGAAAACUCGAGGCUCAACCUCGAGACGCCGAUGGAAACCCCCUGGCUAGAGUCCGGAAGAGGAGAGUGGAAUUCCUGGUGUAGCGGUGAAAUGCGCAGAUAUCAGGAGGAACACCUAUUGCGAAGGCAGCUCGCUGGGACGUAACUGACGCUGAGACGCGAAAGCGUGGGGAGCAAACAGG
Molecule: ribosomal RNA, 253 nt
Filed under: uncultured bacterium
Lineage: Bacteria
Description: partial 16S ribosomal RNA
Rfam family: Bacterial small subunit ribosomal RNA
Source: RNAcentral